GAUCCUGGCUCAGGAUGAACGCUGGCGGCGUGCCUAACACAUGCAAGUCGAACGAAGCAAUUUAACGGAAGUUUUCGGACGGAAGUUGAAUUGACUGAGUGGCGGACGGGUGAGUAACGCGUGGGUAACCUGCCUUGUACUGGGGGACGAACAGUUAGAAAUGACUGCUAAUACCGCAUAAGCGCACAGUAGUCGCAUGAUACAGUGUGAAAACUCCGGUGGUACAAGAUGGACCCGCGU
Molecule: ribosomal RNA, 240 nt
Filed under: uncultured bacterium
Lineage: Bacteria
Description: partial 16S ribosomal RNA
Rfam family: Bacterial small subunit ribosomal RNA
Source: RNAcentral